GAUGAACGCUGGCGGCGUGCUUAACACAUGCAAGUCGAACGAGGCUUGUCGACGGAAAUUUUCGGAUGGAAGACGGCAUGACCGAGUGGCGGACGGGUGAGUAACGCGUGGGGAACCUGCCCCAUUCCGGGGGAUACCAGUUGGAAACGACUGUUAAUACCGCAUAAGCGCACGGGAAGGCAUCUUCCAGUGUGAAAAACUGAGGUGGAAUGGGAUGGCCCCGCGUCUGAUUAGCCAGUUGGCAGGGUAACGGCCUACCAAAGCGACGAUCAGUAGCCGGCCUGAGAGGGCGACCGGCCACAUUGGGACUGAGACACGGCCCAA
This 324-nucleotide ribosomal RNA is filed under the name uncultured bacterium. Its description in RNAcentral is "bacterial SSU rRNA". It matches the Rfam family "Bacterial small subunit ribosomal RNA", at positions 28 to 334 of the family's 1533-position model. The record is from RNAcentral.